UGGUUCCUUAGGUCAUAUUUGAUGGCCCCGAAUAAUUUUAUGCGAUCGGGGACUGGGGGCCCGGACCCACUAGGAAUGCGUGGGCUAUAGCACACGAAUAUAUGGGAAUCGUGCGGAAUUCUAGUUUUUUGGCCGUAAAAUGCAAAACAACGAGGAACGGUCAUGGAGGGGCGGUGACUAUGGUUCCUUAGGUCGUAUUUUAUGGUUUGGAAAAAUGUUAGGCAAUCCGAUUUCGUGGGACUCGGGCCCACUCGGAAGGCGUGGGCUCUGCUCACGAAAAUAUGAGAAUCGGGCGGAAUUCUAGUUUUUUGGUCCUAAAAAGCAAAUCAAUGAGGAACAGUCAUGGUGGGGCAGUGAAUAUGGUUCCUUAGGUCAUAUUUGAUGGC
Molecule: long non-coding RNA, 386 nt
Filed under: Nicotiana tabacum (common tobacco)
Lineage: Eukaryota; Viridiplantae; Streptophyta; Magnoliopsida; Solanales; Solanaceae
Description: long non-coding RNA (NTAB_LNC012096)
Source: RNAcentral